This 414-nucleotide long non-coding RNA is filed under the name Bos taurus (domestic cattle). Its description in RNAcentral is "long non-coding RNA NONBTAT018217". Lineage: Eukaryota; Metazoa; Chordata; Mammalia; Artiodactyla; Bovidae. The record is from RNAcentral.
AUUUUCAUUGUAUAUUUGAUAUAUUUUUAAUUUUGUAGCGUGUGGCUGGACCAGGCCCUAUCGUGCCAGCCUGUGGCAGGGUGGCUGAGCUGGGGCCGUCUGCUUGAUCCUGUGGGCUUGGUAGUGCUUAGAGCUGCUGCUGCAGGCUGGGCCCAUCCCGUCGUGUCUCUGCCAUUAGACGUAGGGAGAAGUCUGCACAUUUAUUUUCCAGCCAGACUUCUGGCUGUACCCACUGGCGUCACAAGCUCUUCAUCCCCUGGGAGAGUGCUGGGUUUCUGACGAUGCUCAGGCCCCCAGAGGGCCUCAUCUCAGAGUGCCUCUGUCCUGCAUUUGCCCUUGAGACAUCCCUGACUGCUUAGAGAAGGCUGCCCCUCCUCUGUGCUUCUGACACACACACCUCUCUGCUCACUCUCA